This 253-nucleotide ribosomal RNA is filed under the name uncultured bacterium. Its description in RNAcentral is "partial 16S ribosomal RNA". It matches the Rfam family "Bacterial small subunit ribosomal RNA", at positions 524 to 776 of the family's 1533-position model. The record is from RNAcentral.
GACGGGGGGUGCAAGCGUUAUCCGGAAUCACUGGGCGUAAAGCGUCUGUAGGUGGUGAUGCAAGUCACUGGUGCAAAACUCUGGCUCAACCGGAGGAAAGCCAGUGAAACUGCAUGACUAGAGUGUGGGAGAGGUAGAAGGAAUUCCCUGAGUAGCGGUGAAAUGCGUAGAUACAGGGAAGAACACCGGAGGCGAAAGCGUCCUACUGGAACACAAUUGACCCUGAGAGACGAAAGCUAGGGGAGCGAAUGGG